Molecule: non-coding RNA, 1100 nt
Organism: Xiphophorus couchianus (Monterrey platyfish)
Lineage: Eukaryota; Metazoa; Chordata; Actinopteri; Cyprinodontiformes; Poeciliidae
Source: the annotation of a RefSeq genome assembly
UGACAUGCAGCCUCCUCCAAUUGGGUGUGUUCAUGAUUUGACCCAGGCCGCCCUCCUCCAUCACCUCAUUGCUUCACGAUGUCUUCACCUACUCAGACCUUCGGCUUCCUCCUCAUCUGGUUCUCAUAUCAGAUCCUGAUGGGAGCAGCGGCAAAAACCUGCAGGAUGCCGCGAAUGAUGAUCCUGCUUCUCCUCAUCUUGCCUCAGUAUCAAGCCAAGAGCGUGCAAUUUCAACCAACUGAUCCCAAAAUAGUCAACACGGCAGACAAAGUGGAGUUCCACUGUCGUCACGACGACAGCGGUCUAAACGUUAUGCUCUGGUACCAGCAGACAGACACCGGUGCUAUGGAGCUGAUUGGAUACAGCUACGUCGGGAGUGAAGCGGUCUAUGAGAAAGCCUUUGAAAGCAGGUUCAAGAUUACAAGACAAGACACCCAGACAGGAGGCCUGAACAUCGACGACGCCUCUGCCUCAGACUCCGCCGUGUAUUUCUGCGCUGGCAGUACACAGUGAUGUGGUUUAAUGAAACCUCAUGACUAAAAGUCCUACCCGUUUCAGAAAGCUUCAAGUUGGGUUGCCUUUGUCUAAUGAUUACCGAUUUCUAUGGAAUCACUCAACUGUAUUUGAGAUUUUUGUAAUUUUUCCUUCUAUGUUCUUUUCGUUUUCAUUAUUUUACUUUUACAAACUCAAACGACUGCAAUGUUGAAUUUACCUACAUUUUUGGAAAGACCAGCAGUGUGAAAAUCCGUCUGUCCGUCCGUUCAGGAUGGGCUCUUACAUUUCUUGACGUUUAUGCCAUUUCAAAGGAGUGUUAUUUUCUAAACAUGGACACUGCCGUCUUAUUUUUCCCCUUCUUUCCAUCAUGCUACUAUUAGCCGUGUUUCCAUUUCAAAUGUUUUUAAAACUUUGUCAAUAUUCUGUUGUUGUCAAAAAACCACAAUUUAGCAAUUCCUGUUGCCAUUAAAUAAGAAAUGCAAUUAAAAUCACACAGAAUAAGUUUGUUCACGGCAUGAUCCUCAAUCCACUACUGCUUGACCUCUUCUUCAUGGUUGGCGCCAGUGACAACAUCCGGUUGUUGAUCAUGUGACUCGUAAUGCAAA